This is a long non-coding RNA of Sebastes umbrosus (honeycomb rockfish), 1096 nucleotides long. RefSeq lists it as uncharacterized. The record is from RefSeq and is a predicted model, not a curated record. NCBI's taxonomy places the organism in Eukaryota, Metazoa, Chordata, Actinopteri, Perciformes, Sebastidae. The transcript is spliced from 4 exons.
GCUGUCUGACGGAGGCGGGUGAACCGGACACACCGCCGGGCGGGCGGACACUCCUCCACCGACCCACCGGCCUGACUUCCCGGGGAGUUGUGUGUUAGUCGUAGCGGCCCGGUGGCGCACGGAGAGCGGGUUGAAGCUCUGAACUGACGGUAGAGACGCUACAGCAGCAGCUCAACUACACACACAGGACUUAGCAGGCCACCGUACCAGGCCGGUCUGGGUGCUGCACCUGUCAAAUUGACACCUGAUGGAUGAAAGACAGCAACACCUGGAUGAGAGGAGCGUAGAGGAGGCGACCACGGCGAGGACAGGGGUUUGCCCAGGACGCCGAGGAGGCCACCGAAGAAUUACCGGACGAGUGACGUGACUCAUAACUGCUGAACGUCUGCUGAGGAAGAGGAGGAGAGGAGGGUUACACUUUAAUGAAGAAGAGGGUGUUAAACUGUGGAUGUGGAUCAGAUCAGAGAGCCCCCCCAGGAUUUCCUCCAUGUCAACUCACCUGCAUCCCGACGACGGCGUAGAUGAAGAAGAUCAAGGCGAUGAGCAGAGCGACGUACGGCAGAGCCUGAAGACACACAGGAGGAGGUUAUGACCCGCCCUACCCUAACCCCAACCAAUCUCACCAACCAAGGCAAUUAGGUCUAGCCACAGAGGAGGGCGGGUCACGCUUCGCCUUAGCAGGAUUCAUGGGCUGCGGUCAAAAAGUAAAAAAAUGGCAUCCUAAUGACUUUUCCCAACCACUUCUCCUUGACCUCGAUGGUAAACAUCAUGAGGUCAAGGAAAGGUGUAAACGAGAAUUCAUUAAGGAUUUUGGAAAAGACAAUGGUGUUAAGAGAGUCCGACUGCACUUGCUACUAGGCUACUUAAUUAUGAUGUUAUGAUGCAUGUCCACCGUGGUGAAACUACAACGUUCCAAAGAUGAACUACAAAAGGUGCUGCUUCCCCUCGUGCGUUCUUAAAACCCCCCUCCAGCCAGUUUUACUUCCUGUUUUUUGGUUAACGUUCAGACCCGUUAGGAACCUUCCUAAGAGGAAAAAGACUAUUCGACUGCAGCCGAGGAUUCAUAAUAAUACAGCGUGCCCUGUCAGCCCCGCCC